CCCCUCUCAGGAUUGCACCUGGAGAGUUUCCAAUACUCUACCAGACUUGGCUAGAGGAGGGAGGAGGAAGAGUCAAGCAGAGGCCUUCCCGUUCCAUUCCUAGCUGGGGCAGUGGUUAGCGAGUGGAAGGCAAUCUGCGACAAGU
This 145-nucleotide small nucleolar RNA is filed under the name Ornithorhynchus anatinus (platypus). The record is from RNAcentral. Lineage: Eukaryota; Metazoa; Chordata; Mammalia; Monotremata; Ornithorhynchidae.